CGCCCCGCCCUCGCCUACUUCGUCAUAACGUCAACGCCCCACCCUCAGCGCCGCGCGCGUGGGGCCUCCUGGGACUGGUAGUUCUGUAUGGACUUGGAAGCAUCUGCGGGGGCCUACCCUGCCACUAGCACCUGCAGCUUUCAGGGUUCAGCACCAUUUCUCAUUUCGAGGCACUUGGAAUCUGACUCCUUCCCCUAGAUGGUGCUAUUAACUUAGUUUUCUUCUUCAGGACCACCGACUCCCGCUGAGAGGUCAUUUACUGUAUUCCCUAGGCUCUGCCGAGUAUCCUCUCUGGGAUCAUAGAAUGAUGGUGACACAGUGUGCCAUCUCCCGCUUCUGCGCCUUUGCAUGGGGGUUCCCCACUUUGGAAUACCUUCUUACCUCCUCAGCCUCUUGGAAACUCUUCUUCAUUCAAAGCACUAAGUAGGUGCCGCCUCCCUUAGGGACCUUUCCUGAUCCUCUCAGUUAGCGGUAGUUCCCUCUUGAAAUUAUUUUGUAGAACUAUAUAUAAGUGUGGAUAGUGGACAGAAAGCUGAGCCAGGCUUUGAAGCCAGCAAGUCCUAAGUCCUAGUGCUUAAAGAAUGAUACCUAGCCCACACUAAGCACUUAAUAAAUUCUCUGCUUCUCUCUCCUUCGGUCACUGUUUCUGGAUGUGCCUCUACUCUUUCCUCUGAUACACACUCUAGGAUCGGAAUAAGUCACUUAUUUUCUUAGAUAAGUCUAUAAAAGUUGCCAACCUCCAGUAGUAGAAGGAGUUCCUUAUUCAAGUGAAUAAUCCUUAUUUCUAUCUUAGUUUUCACGUGUUGCCUCCUUGUAAGAUCCUUGAGGGCAGAGAACGAUUUCAUUUUUGCUUUUGUAUUCCCAAAGCUUAGCAUAUUAUCUUGCACAUAGAAUCUGAUGAAUGCCUUGUUAAAUUGAACUGAAAGAGAUAUCAGAGAUACUUCAACCCCAUAAUUUUUAAAAAAAUUAUUGAUGCCUUUUGUUUUACAUCACAGUUAUUCCCAAAUAUGCAUACAUCAUACACAGAGUCCCCUUAAAUGAACAAAAAUAGGCAAGCAAAGAUAGUGAUACCAUCUCUUACAAUGUAUGCAGCAUCUUACCUUAACUCUCCUGCCCCCUACAGUGAGGAGACAGGUAGGCUUCAUUACCUAGUCUCUAGGAUUCAGUGUUCUCAUAUUACAGAGGAGGAAAUAUCUUCAAAAGAUGAAAGAGAAUCUCUGCUCUGUUAAAUCUAUUUUCCUCUUCAAUGCAAGACCUAAAAAGCUUCAUGAUACAUCAAUUCCAGUGUUACACGCCUGUGCUAUGAGAAGAAAGGCAGAGAGAUCAAUGGAAGAUAGGUAGUAACAACCUAUUGCCAUCACUUUUAUCACCAUGCUAGAUCCAAAUGGGGCUGAUUUCAUAUGCUAUGAGAUCAUGCUAAACCAAUCUUGUUGACUCCAUCAAAUAUUCUGGGCCAGGGCUGACUCAGGCUGCUUUAAGGGGUAAGGCUCAGGAUUGGAGCAACAUGAGACAUUCAUAGGCCAUAUAACAGUCAAAAAGAAUUUGCUUUACAACAUCAAGGAAAAUAUGCUCAGCAAUAGUAUUGAUUCAGAAACGUUUUUGGAACAAGCAAGCAUCACUCUACCAAGAAACAGUAAAAGCCAAUAACAGGUA
Monodelphis domestica (gray short-tailed opossum) is the source of this 1653-nucleotide long non-coding RNA. RefSeq lists it as uncharacterized. The record is from RefSeq and is a predicted model, not a curated record. NCBI's taxonomy places the organism in Eukaryota, Metazoa, Chordata, Mammalia, Didelphimorphia, Didelphidae.